Molecule: long non-coding RNA, 712 nt
Organism: Colossoma macropomum (tambaqui)
Lineage: Eukaryota; Metazoa; Chordata; Actinopteri; Characiformes; Serrasalmidae
Exons: 3
Source: RefSeq, a predicted model, not a curated record
UCUCUCCUCAUUUAAACAGAGAGGAGUCUGGUCUUGUACGACAGGAAAUAACUGCCCUGCAGCAUUUCCAAGAUGGUUGCUGAGUGAACAGACUUUCCUACAAGGACUUCUGUAAAAACACCCAUACCAACACCACACACACUACCAUUCAGUGACCAUGUUAGUGUCAGUGCUGUGCUGAGAAUGGUCCACCUCUCAUAUAAUAUCAGGCCAGUGGUGGCCCUAUGGUGGUCAGUUGGCUGAUAGAUUGUACAAUGUACAAAGUGAACUUAUAUGAUAGGUGUUUCUGAUAAAAUGACCGAUGACUGUAGAUAGUGUUUCUAAUAAACUGUUAACUCAGUGUAGUUUGCUUUCUUGAGAGCAUGCUUGUUCUUGUAAAAUCUGUGAUGAACAAGAUAAUUGUGCCCCUGCCCUCCCUUUCCUGGUGAUUGCUCAAUCAUGGAUUUUCAUGUUCUGGUCCAACGUCUAAAUCGGUUGUGGAGACAUGUGAUCAGGAGGGCUGGCUCUGGCCUGCGUAAACUAUUUAAAACCAGAACAUGAAGGAGUUGGACUCAAACCAGGAGUGAAAUCAAAGCUCUGAAACAAGUGUCUACUUGUGCUGAAUAGCAUCCAAGAAUAAUGAAGCCCCUGCUUGUGACUCUCCUUCUUGCCAUGCUGUUGAUGAGUGGUUCUGCCCCUCUGUGUGUAAAGGGAAACCACAAGUGAAUGCCCA